CCCGGGGAGGGGGGAGUGUUUUACCUUCGUCCAGCAACCUCUCGAGGUGGUUGAAGAUCCCGCAGAAGUUGGGGAGGCUGCUCAUCAGCUUCUUGUCGUUCAUCAGCUGCAUCAGGACACCUGUAAACCCAGGUGAUACAGGAACGGAGCCAGAGAAGGAGGCCUGUAGAAAGCACCCAACUGAUGGCUGAAGAUAAAAAGAUGAUUAUAGAAUCCUACCAAAAGCUCAAUGGAGUGAUCUGUCAAAUAAACCAUAUCUUCACUUAGGACCUUCUGGAAGUACUCUCAUUCCAUUAACCUCUGUGGACAGUCUAUCAAAACAGAACCCAGUCCCUAAUAGGGAGUUGUAUUUCAUGAGAAGAACAAAAGAAGAUCAAUGCUGAUUUGGCUAGAUCACACCUCUUUCAUUUGAAAAAGAAGAGGCCUGGAUCCUGAACUCCUUACGUUUGCCUGAAUAAGAAGAGCUUACUCUAACCUGUUCUUUCCUUUGCAUUAAACAGAAGCUCUGACACAGCUGUAAAUAAAAUACUGUACUUAGGCUCUAUUAAUCUGUGCAAGUUUACAUUUUACACUCAACAUUUGCUGCUGGGAAACCAUCCAAAUUUAUAUCAUGUUUCCAAGUUAGCUAAG
Molecule: long non-coding RNA, 630 nt
Organism: Mauremys mutica (yellowpond turtle)
Lineage: Eukaryota; Metazoa; Chordata; Testudines; Geoemydidae
Exons: 3
Source: RefSeq, a predicted model, not a curated record